RNAcentral lists this ribosomal RNA (260 nucleotides) under uncultured Anaerococcus sp. RNAcentral's name for it is "partial 16S ribosomal RNA". It matches the Rfam family "Bacterial small subunit ribosomal RNA", at positions 96 to 354 of the family's 1533-position model. The record is from RNAcentral. Lineage: Bacteria; Bacillati; Bacillota; Tissierellia; Tissierellales; Peptoniphilaceae.
GGACGGACGGGUGAGUAACGCGUGAGUAACCUGCCUUACACAAGGGGAUAGCCGUUGGAAACGACGAAUAAUACCCUAUGACAUAAACUCUUAGCAUGAAGAACUUAUCAAAGAUUUAUCGGUGUAAGAUGGACUCGCGUCUGAUUAGCUAGUUGGUGAGGUAACGGCCCACCAAGGCGACGAUCAGUAGCCGGCUUGAGAGAGUGUACGGCCACAUUGGGACUGAGACACGGCCCAGACUCCUACGGGAGGCAGCAGGC